AGAGUUUGAUCCUGGCUCAGGACGAACGCUGGCGGCACGCUUAACACAUGCAAGUCGAACGAGAGAAGAGGAGCUUGCUUUUCUGAUCUAGUGGCGGACGGGUGAGUAACACGUGAGCAAUCUGCCUUUCAGAGGGGGAUACCGAUUGGAAACGAUCGUUAAUACCGCAUAACAUAAUUGAACCGCAUGAUUUGAUUAUCAAAGAUUUAUCGCUGAAAGAUGAGCUCGCGUCUGAUUAGCUAGUUGGUAAGGUAACGGCUUACCAAGGCGACGAUCAGUAGCCGGACUGAGAGGUUGAUCGGCCACAUUGGGACUGAGACACGGCCCAGACUCCUACGGGAGGCAGCAGUGGGGAAUAUUGCACAAUGGAGGAAACUCUGAUGCAGCGAUGCCGCGUGAGGGAAGAAGGUUUUAGGAUUGUAAACCUCUGUCUUCAGGGACGAAAAAAGACGGUACCUGAGGAGGAAGCUCCGGCUAACUACGUGCCAGCAGCCGCGGUAAUACGUAGGGAGCGAGCGUUGUCCGGAAUUACUGGGUGUAAAGGGAGCGUAGGCGGGAUCGCAAGUCAGAUGUGAAAACUAUGGGCUUAACCCAUAAACUGCAUUUGAAACUGUGGUUCUUGAGUGAAGUAGAGGUAAGCGGAAUUCCUAGUGUAGCGGUGAAAUGCGUAGAUAUUAGGAGGAACAUCAGUGGCGAAGGCGGCUUACUGGGCUUUAACUGACGCUGAGGCUCGAAAGCGUGGGGAGCAAACAGGAUUAGAUACCCUGGUAGUCCACGCCGUAAACGAUGAUUACUAGGUGUGGGGGGACUGACCCCUUCCGUGCCGCAGCAAACGCAAUAAGUAAUCCACCUGGGGAGUACGACCGCAAGGUUGAAACUCAAAGGAAUUGACGGGGGCCCGCACAAGCAGUGGAGUAUGUGGAUUAAUUCGAAGCAACGCGAAGAACCUUACCAGGUCUUGACAUCGUAUGCAUAGCUCAGAGAUGAGUGAAAUCUCUUCGGAGACAUAUAGACAGGUGGUGCAUGGUUGUCGUCAGCUCGUGUCGUGAGAUGUUGGGUUAAGUCCCGCAACGAGCGCAACCCUUACUGUUAGUUGCUACGCAAGAGCACUCUAGCAGGACUGCCGUUGACAAAACGGAGGAAGGUGGGGAUGACGUCAAAUCAUCAUGCCCCUUAUGACCUGGGCCUCACACGUACUACAAUGGCUGUCAACAGAGGGAAGCAAAGCCGCGAGGUGGAGCGAACCCCUAAAAGCAGUCUUAGUUCGGAUUGUAGGCUGCAACCCGCCUACAUGAAGUCGGAAUUGCUAGUAAUCGCAGAUCAGCAUGCUGCGGUGAAUACGUUCCCGGGCCUUGUACACACCGCCCGUCACGCCAUGGGAGUCGAUAACACCCGAAGCCUGUAGUCUAACCGCAAGGAGGACGCAGUCGAAGGUGGGAUUGAUGACUGGGGUGAAGUCGUAACAAGGUA
This 1470-nucleotide ribosomal RNA is filed under the name metagenome. RNAcentral's name for it is "bacterial SSU rRNA". It matches the Rfam family "Bacterial small subunit ribosomal RNA". The record is from RNAcentral.